Molecule: non-coding RNA, 3911 nt
Organism: Struthio camelus australis
Lineage: Eukaryota; Metazoa; Chordata; Aves; Struthioniformes; Struthionidae
Source: RefSeq, a predicted model, not a curated record
UGGGAUAGAGAAAGAAACAGUCUUGUUCUGUCUCAGAUGCUUAUAAGCAUUCCAGACUUUAUAUAUAAAACAGCACUUUGCAAUUCACCUGGAAACUCACUGAUAUAGAUCCAAGAUGAGAAACACAAUGUACUCGCAGCAGAAAACACUGCUAGGUCUUGAAACAAACUUCUGCAGAAGAGAUUGAGCCUGAAUCCUCAAAUGUGCUGCGUGCUCGUUUAUGCUAGCCUUUCACCAACCAAUGAUGGAAGGAAAACAACACUGGAAGAAGUUGUCCAUUCAGUUGGCUAUCGGAGUAGCCACAUGCAGAUGCUGGGCCACUGUGGCAUAGACUGGAGAAUGAGAAAAGACAAGAAGCUACCUUUCAAGAACAAGAGCUUCAGGAUCUGGUCUCAAGUCACCAUUUAACAAAAGCCCAAAGUUUAAUGAGAUAACUGACCUAAGCAGAGAUCCAGAGCCAUGAGAAGAUGAAGUGCAGCCAAGUCUUUUGAAGGCAAUAAGAACAGUGUGGUUACUACUUUCCUGUAAGGCCUCGAAGGAUCAAGACCAAAAGUCUCCAACUUGCUAUAGCAUGUGAGAAAAAGCUGUCUGUGUUGCAAUACUCAACGCCUCUACAGUUCAGAAACAUACGCAAAGCCACGAUGAACCUCCUGAGCACUGGGACAAUGCAAUGGCAUCAGAUAAGACAAGAGUCUCCAGGAGAAACUGAAAAGAUAACCAUACUUCAAAUGUGCUUUCCUAUGUGUUGGGGACAGAAGGUCUCUCAUCCGUGAGUAGGACACUGAAAUCCUCCAGUAAGAGCUGUCACAUGUUCACCACUAGAAGACCCUCAAAACCUCAACAUCUCCUGUGAAACUGUAGACUGUGGCAGAAUCCCUCAGAGAGCCGAUGCCUGCACUGAGCUCAGCACUUCUGUUCCAGCUGAGAAAGCUGAAGCCGAAAAGAUGUGGGAGGAGAUUUACUGACACAGAUAUUGAACCCAGUGAAAUAUUGAGGAAAUGAGACCGGGUUAGAUGAACAAGGACUUGAGGUCCGCUGCAAAUGCAUCAAAGAAGGUUACAUGGAAGAACAAGUACCAAGCAUGCGAAGCAGGGUUUCAAAAACCAGGUGCCUGUAACACAAAACUGGCUUAGACUUGUUCUGAAUCAAGGAGAGGAAAAUGGAGUGACUGGAACUCUACAUGGAGCUGGUAGACUUGCCAAAUUGAGUGACAGACUGCACGUUUGAAUACGGCCAUUGAUAUCCCAUUUCAGCAUUUCUCAGUGUAUGAAGAAACCUUUGAUAUUUUCUUUCGGUUUUGCAUCCCACAAACCUAAACUAGAUCUGCACCCCCUUCACACAUCCCACCCUGCUGCAGCUGUUCCUGUGUCUGAACAGCCUUUUCAUAUCUCUCUACAAAACUCCUUUCUGAGAUGCCUUUCUCACUGUGAGCCGCAAAUCUCUCCCUGCAGCAUCCUUGACUACUUAUUAAGCUCUGAGAAGGUGUUCAAUAACACAAAGGUAUCGGCUGAAGACACUGCCUGCUCUGAAGAACUUAAUCGGAAAUGUACAAGAGAGAAGGACAUAGUGCUGUGACACUGAGGGAAAAGAUUGGCUUUGAUAUACUAGUGUAUGUAUGCUUGUACAUUUAGUAUGAUUUUAUUUGCUGUCUGCAAGCUCUCCUCUUUAUUUUUAAUACUGCCCUCAGUGGCAGGCAUACAGCUGUCUACAUCAGUUCAUGCAGAAGUCAGAUUUUUAAUAAAAAAAAAUCUAUAUUUUUAUCAUGACUGGACUUGAUGGAUGGGAGACUUGUGCACGUAUGCACACAAAGGAGACUUUGUUUAUGGAGAGAACAAGCAAGUUCUUAAAAAAAAUUACUUAAAAACCCCCUCCAAAUGUACUUGUUUUCAGUAGAUGUUUACGUUUACCGCUGUUUUUUCGGUAUCCUUGUGACUGACAAUUUGCUUUUCAACCUGAUAUAUAAUUUGUUUUUUAAUUGGAGGGGAAAAAAAAACCCAGCAGCAAAAUUGACUUGUUCAGUUUCAGGCAGCGUGGCUUCAGCCUUAAUAUUUAAAUGUGUGUAUUAGAGUGUGCAUACGCUACUAGCCAGCCCUCUGCUUCCAGGUCCUCUUCCCAGAGUAUAAAGUCCUCAUGUGAGUCCUCAGGCAUUCUUUUUUUCGCGAGCUCUCUUUCUGCAUUUGUGCAAGAAAAAUGUAAAAUGGCUAAUAAAAGAAAUUGGGAGCUCUUUGUGGAAUCUGUAAGCUUCUGAUAAUACAGUAAGGAACGCUGCCUGCACAGCAAACAUAUAUAUUACAACAGCCAGUGAGAAAAAUAAAUUUGAGAGAGAUGUGAGGAUAUGCAUCCUCGAAGCACAUGGGUACAAUAGAAAUAUAAGGGCACUUCUUCAUACUGAGCUUCAGGGGAUGCUUAGCAGGUAGAAUCAGGCUCCUCAUGCAGUAACAACUGCGAAGGAGCCAGCCAAGCUUAGGUAAUGAAAUAUUCUCUUUCAGGUUAGCAGUGGACUCUCCUAAUGCUUUUCCUUCCUCACUGAGUAAAGCGUUCAAGCCAGCACUUGCAAAAUGCAGCUGCAACUUCUCACUGUCUGACUCUGAUGAGCACAAAUGAGAGCUUUUGCACCUCUAUAGUUAGGAGGCUGCACGUGAAAAAGCCACCUAUACGAGAGGGCUAUGCCUACCAUACGAUAACAUUAUUUUCCCUUCUAAAUAACCUAGUGGUGACUGAGACAGCUGAAUAAUUUUGCCUUGGGACAGAGGUACGAAAGUGCAGUGGGAGAAUUGUUUCCAGGGCUUUGGAUUCUCUGACUCUUGUACUGAUGCUUUGGACAGACAGGAGACCUUACAGGCAUUCAUGGCUGCUAAUUAUUCCGCAGUUCUCUUUGGAGAUUUCAUCUUGAGAGCCUGCAGCAUCAGAAUACCUAAUGCCCUGGUCAAGCUAUUUAACCAAACAAGACGUCUUACAAAGAGCUAUAAACUUGGGGAGCUUGACUGGGCCACUUGUGCAAAGGCAGAGAGUUGUCAAGGUGGCACAUCACUGCUGUUUGCUCAUCACCACAUGUGCAAAACCAACUCUGACCCAAAAUCACUUUCAUUUCUUUCGUGUUUUCCUUUCCCUGCGCUCGCCUAUGGUGUGAGCUGGAGACAAAGUUGCUGUAAGAACAGACAAGUGUUAGCUCUUGUGCAUUUCUGAUUUUUUUUUUAGAUUAAUUUCUUUUGGAUAGCAAAUAGUAUUGAUUAGGUUUACUUUCAUAUAUAAAUUAAGUAUUGGUGGAGAUUUUGAUUCUUAGUGUGACUCUUGAUUGCAUGGCUAUCGCAAGCCUAGCAUUUCUAACAGUGUACAGGAGCUGAACGAACAUGCAUUGCAAAUAAUGUAUUCAUUGAUUGUUGCUCAUCUUUCUGUUUGCAAAUUAACAACAUGCAGAUGAAUUCAAGUGCAUUUUGUUUGCUAUUUGAAAUUGUUCAAGCACUUUAUUCGAAUGUAUUUCCCCUUCAAAUGAAUACAUAAUGAAAAAGCUUGUCAGAAACCCUAAGUAUUUUCUAAGUGUGAUGUGUGGUUGGUUACCUGUGCCAUGUGAUGUUUUUUUCUGUUUUAUGGUUUUGUGGUUGCAACUUUUCCAAGCAAAAUGAGGGAAAUCAGCAAUUUCAGUGUGGCCAUAGGAACAGUUUUUAAUCCAAGUCCUCACACUAACACAUGAACUGUGACAGAGCAAUGAAGGAAAUGGUUUGCACAAUUUGUCAAGGAAUCACUGAGAGCUGGACACUCUAACAGAUGAUCUUUUCCUCUAGAGUUAUAUUCUUCUAGAGACUUUAUUCUUUAAAACUUGGUGCAAAGUCUUCUGAGGUGGUCAUGGAGACAUUGUUCUCCAUGUGUGAAGGAGUUUGUGUGUGUAUGUGUGUGCUCCUCUAUAUAAAGGA